RNAcentral lists this ribosomal RNA (1117 nucleotides) under uncultured bacterium. RNAcentral's name for it is "bacterial SSU rRNA". It matches the Rfam family "Bacterial small subunit ribosomal RNA", at positions 353 to 1482 of the family's 1533-position model. The record is from RNAcentral.
AGUGAGGAAUAUUGGUCAAUGGGCGGAAGCCUGAACCAGCCAUCCCGCGUGAAGGAAGAAGGCCUUAUGGGUUGUAAACUUCUUUUCUGUUUGAAGAAUAAGCUUGUCGAGACAAGUGAUGCCGGUAGGACAGGAAUAAGCAUCGGCUAACUCCGUGCCAGCAGCCGCGGUAAUACGGAGGAUGCAAGCGUUAUCCGGAUUUAUUGGGUUUAAAGGGUGCGCAGGUGGUUUAAUAAGUCAGUGGUGAAAAUCUGCCGCUUAACGGUAGGAUUGCCAUUGAUACUGUUGGACUUGAAUAUGGAUGAGGUAGGCGGAAUGUGUAGUGUAGCGGUGAAAUGCUUAGAUAUUACACAGAACACCGAUUGCGAAGGCAGCUUACUAAUCCAUGAUUGACGCUGAGGCACGAAAGCGUGGGGAUCAAACAGGAUUAGAUACCCUGGUAGUCCACGCUGUAAACGAUGAUCACUCGCUGUUUGCGAUAUACAGUAAGCGGCUAAGCGAAAGCGUUAAGUGAUCCACCUGGGGAGUACGAUCGCAAGGUUGAAACUCAAAGGAAUUGACGGGGGCCCGCACAAGCGGAGGAACAUGUGGUUUAAUUCGAUGAUACGCGAGGAACCUUACCUGGGCUUAAAUGGGGAGUGACAGCUGCUGAAAGGUGGUUUUCUUCGGACACUCUUCAAGGUGCUGCAUGGUUGUCGUCAGCUCGUGCCGUGAGGUGUCGGGUUAAGUCCCAUAACGAGCGCAACCCUUACUGUUAGUUGCCAGCGGGUAAAGCCGGGGACUCUAGCGGGACUGCCACCGUAAGGUGAGAGGAAGGUGGGGAUGACGUCAAAUCAGCACGGCCCUUAUGUCCAGGGCUACACACGUGUUACAAUGGCCGGUACAAAGGGCAGCUACACUGCGAAGUGAUGCUAAUCUCGAAAGCCGGUCCCAGUUCGGAUCGAAGUCUGCAACCCGACUUCGUGAAGUUGGAUUCGCUAGUAAUCGCGCAUCAGCCAUGGCGCGGUGAAUACGUUCCCGGGCCUUGUACACACCGCCCGUCAAGCCAUGGGAGCCGGGGGUACCUGAAGUCUGCAACCGCAAGGAGCGGCCUAGGGUAAAACUGGUGACUGGGGCU